Vicia villosa (hairy vetch) is the source of this 831-nucleotide long non-coding RNA. RefSeq lists it as uncharacterized. Lineage: Eukaryota; Viridiplantae; Streptophyta; Magnoliopsida; Fabales; Fabaceae. The record is from RefSeq and is a predicted model, not a curated record. The transcript is spliced from 4 exons.
GUGACGAUUCAGCUUCUCCUCUCAGACUCAACUCUCUCUUGUUCACUCUCGAGUGCGAUUUCCGGCGGCAUAACCACCGUGAGCCACCGUCUCUAAUCACCCCGUAAACACAAAUCCCCACUCGUUUCCGAUCCUAUUGUGACUCCUCAGCUUAACAUCGCUCUCGCCUCUUUCGUCUUCGUUCGGACUCUCUCUCUCUCUUCGUCUCGUCUUCUUCUCCGAUGCGAUCUUGCUCUCUCUCGAUCUCGCGCGGUUUCUAUGAUUCAACCUCUUAAACGGCCGGUAUCACUCCGAUGUCUUCUUCAAAAGUCAGAUAAGUCGUUUCUCGUUCCGAUUCCGUCUCUGACUCGGUGCUGCAAUGAUGAAGCUUCACGUUGUUAUUACGUUGAAAUUGUGGCAGGUGUGAUGUAUUUCUCUGUUGCAAUUGCAGAUGAUGAAGAUGAAGGUUCUGUGUUGACUGACGAUUCUCUGUAGUUGCGAUGGAGGAUGAAUUGCGAUGAUAUUGCCUCGUGUUGCUGUUGAUGAUGAAGGAUGCGCAAAGAGGUGAUGAUGUUGCUGUUAUCGUGAAUUUGCGAAUCGUGUUUGACAAGAAUUGAAGAUCGCAGUUGAGGCGUGAUGAUGAGGUGAAGAUUCUUCGAAGAGCGACGAGACCGAAGACUUUGUUGCAGAACGAAGGGAGAAGCUUGGAGAAUGGAUCGAGAAUGCUUCAAGUUUGUUACGAUAUGGUGGAGAUAGAAAGAUGAAGAGCGUUGGAGGUUGAACCAUGGAAGUUCUGAGAUGAUGCAGGUGGUGACUCGGAAGGUGAUUCGGAAGGUGAUGAAGAAGGUGAUG